GGAGAGAUGGUUUAGAGGUUAAGAGCAUUGGCUGUUCUACCAGAGGACCUGGGUUCAAUUCCCAGUAACCUCA
Non-coding RNA from Mesocricetus auratus (golden hamster), 73 nucleotides. The record is from Rfam. Lineage: Eukaryota; Metazoa; Chordata; Mammalia; Rodentia; Cricetidae.